CCGAUGGAGGGGGGUAACUACUGGAAACGGUAGCUAAUACCGCAUAACGUCGCAAGACCAAAGAGGGGGACCUUCGGGCCUCUUGCCAUCGGAUGUGCCCAGAUGGGAUUAGCUAGUAGGUGGGGUAACGGCUCACCUAGGCGACGAUCCCUAGCUGGUCUGAGAGGAUGACCAGCCACACUGGAACUGAGACACGGUCCAG
This 202-nucleotide ribosomal RNA is filed under the name uncultured bacterium. Its description in RNAcentral is "partial 16S ribosomal RNA". It matches the Rfam family "Bacterial small subunit ribosomal RNA", at positions 130 to 334 of the family's 1533-position model. The record is from RNAcentral.